This 599-nucleotide non-coding RNA is filed under the name Pan troglodytes (chimpanzee). Lineage: Eukaryota; Metazoa; Chordata; Mammalia; Primates; Hominidae. The record is from RNAcentral.
CUGACGGCUACUCCUCAAGAUCCUCUCUGUUGUGAUUCAUCCCCCCCGGGCCCUACAGUUUCUCCUUCCUGACUCUUACAUUUCUUUGGAUGGCAUCAUUAUUUUAGGUGCCAAGCACUGUGGAUUCUGCCCCUCAGUGUCCAGACACCCAUUUUCCUUCCCACUGUUCCUUCCCCAUGGAGAAGCCUGUGGCUGGCUGACAGCAGAGAGAGAUGCUCAACUUGGAGAAGGUGUUACCUGGGCCAGGUGGGGAAGGUUUGUUUGCAGAGCAAAGAAGUGAAGGAAGUAUUAACCCUUUGCAUGGCCUCCUGAGAAUCCGACAAGACGUAAAUAGCCAAGAAUAUCUGUGGAACUUAAUCACUGAGUUACAGUAUUUAUCACUGCAAGUGUGUUGUUCAUUGACACUAUAAAGCCAUGUGGAAUUAAGCAGCCUUGAAACACAAAAUGGAGAAAGGCUGAGAGCUGAGAAUUGUUGCCUUCAGGAAAAUACAAUCAAUGUCAAGCAAACAACCACCCCAAAAUGGUUAGCUUUAUCAGCAUUCAGGCCUACAGUGAAAGCAAAUGUUCCAGAUCUGAGUUUCAAUUUUUAAAGAAUAAAC